This 440-nucleotide ribosomal RNA is filed under the name uncultured bacterium. RNAcentral's name for it is "partial 16S ribosomal RNA". It matches the Rfam family "Bacterial small subunit ribosomal RNA", at positions 338 to 795 of the family's 1533-position model. The record is from RNAcentral.
CCUACGGGUGGCAGCAGUGGGGAAUAUUGCACAAUGGGGGAAACCCUGAUGCAGCGACGCCGCGUGAGCGAUGAAGUAUUUCGGUAUGUAAAGCUCUAUCAGCAGGGAAAAAAAUGACGGUACCUGACUAAGAAGCCCCGGCUAACUACGUGCCAGCAGCCGCGGUAAUACGUAGGGGGCAAGCGUUAUCCGGAUUUACUGGGUGUAAAGGGAGCGUAGACGGUCCUGCAAGCCAGAUGUGAAAGCCCGGGGCUCAACCCCGGGACUGCAUUUGGAACUGUCAGGCUAGAGUGUCGGAGAGGCAGGCGGAAUUCCUAGUGUAGCGGUGAAAUGCGUAGAUAUUAGGAGGAACACCAGUGGCGAAGGCGGCUUGCUGGACGAUGACUGACGUUGAGGCUCGAAAGCGUGGGGAGCAAACAGGAUUAGAUACCCUUGUAGUC